GAUGAACGCUGGCGGCGUGCCUAAUACAUGCAAGUCGAGCGAACGGACGAGAAGCUUGCUUCUCUGAUGUUAGCGGCGGACGGGUGAGUAACACGUGGAUAACCUACCUAUAAGACUGGGAUAACUUCGGGAAACCGGAGCUAAUACCGGAUAAUAUUUUGAACCGCAUGGUUCAAAAGUGAAAGACGGUCUUGCUGUCACUUAUAGAUGGAUCCGCGCUGCAUUAGCUAGUUGGUAAGGUAACGGCUUACCAAGGCAACGAUGCAUAGCCGACCUGAGAGGGUGAUCGGCCACACUGGAACUGAGACACGGUCCAGACUCCUACGGGAGGCAGCAGUAGGGAAUCUUCCACAAUGGGCGAAAGCCUGACGGGGCAACGCCGCGUGAGUGAUGAAGGUCUUCGGAUCGUAAAACUCUGUUAUUAGGGAAGAACAUAUGUGUAAGUAACUGUGCACAUCUUGACGGUACCUAAUCAGAAAGCCACGGCUAACUACGUG
This 497-nucleotide ribosomal RNA is filed under the name uncultured bacterium. RNAcentral's name for it is "partial 16S ribosomal RNA". It matches the Rfam family "Bacterial small subunit ribosomal RNA", at positions 28 to 507 of the family's 1533-position model. The record is from RNAcentral.